GGCUCGUUGGCGUAGCCGGUUACGCGUCUGUCGAAUAUGAUCAUUGUUCAUAGGGCUGGAUAUAGACAGAGGUUUCCCAGUUCGAAUCUGAGACGAGUCG
Molecule: non-coding RNA, 100 nt
Organism: Stereum hirsutum FP-91666 SS1
Lineage: Eukaryota; Fungi; Basidiomycota; Agaricomycetes; Russulales; Stereaceae
Source: the annotation of a RefSeq genome assembly